RNAcentral lists this transfer-messenger RNA (367 nucleotides) under Luteolibacter pohnpeiensis. It matches the Rfam family "transfer-messenger RNA". From Rfam's summary of the family: Bacterial tmRNA, also known as 10Sa RNA or SsrA, is named for its dual tRNA and mRNA-like properties. Lineage: Bacteria; Pseudomonadati; Verrucomicrobiota; Verrucomicrobiia; Verrucomicrobiales; Verrucomicrobiaceae. The record is from Rfam by way of RNAcentral.
GGGAAUGCAAUGGUUUCGACCUCAUCAAGCCCAUCAGCGAUAGCAUGCGGAGGUUGACCGGUUGGCCUCCUAAAAAGCCGGUCAAGCAACUACAAGGCAAACAAAACGCCAGCUUCAGUCGUUCCCGCGUCGUCAGUGAUGACCUCGUGCUUUCGAAUUGAGGCAAACACGGUCAGGGAAGCGCCCGCUCCGCUCUGACUGCAACCCGGGCACAAACGGAACUCAGCGCCCAUAAAGACUGAGUGGUGGAGGCAAACGGGAAACCGUUAGCCCUGAGAAUGGCCCACUCUGACGGGUCGUAUAAGCAUGUUCGAAGUCGUUGAUUGGAUGGUGUGGGACUCGGGUUCAACUCCCGACAUUUCCACCA